CUGCGGGGAGGUGCUGGGCUUCCUGGGCAGCUCGUCGGUGUUCUGCAAAGACUGCAGGAAG
RNAcentral lists this small RNA (61 nucleotides) under Pan troglodytes (chimpanzee). RNAcentral describes it as "processed transcript". Lineage: Eukaryota; Metazoa; Chordata; Mammalia; Primates; Hominidae. The record is from RNAcentral.